RNAcentral lists this ribosomal RNA (468 nucleotides) under uncultured bacterium. Its description in RNAcentral is "partial 16S ribosomal RNA". It matches the Rfam family "Bacterial small subunit ribosomal RNA", at positions 28 to 507 of the family's 1533-position model. The record is from RNAcentral.
GACGAACGCUGGCGGCGUGCUUAACACAUGCCAGUCGAACGGAAAGGCCCUGCUUUUGUGGGGUGCUCGAGUGGCGAACGGGUGAGUAACACGUGAGUAACCUGCCCUUGACUUUGGGAUAACUUCAGGAAACUGGGGCUAAUACCGGAUAGGAGCUCCUGCUGCAUGGUGGGGGUUGGAAAGUUUCGGCGGUUGGGGAUGGACUCGCGGCUUAUCAGCUUGUUGGUGGGGUAGUGGCUUACCAAGGCUUUGACGGGUAGCCGGCCUGAGAGGGUGACCGGCAACAUUGGGAAUGAGAUACGGCCCAGACUCCUACGGGAGGCAGCAGUGGGGAAUAUUGCACAAUGGGCGGAAGCCUGAUGCAGCAACGCCGCGUGCGGGAUGACGGCCUUCGGGUUGUAAAACGCUUUCGCCUGUGACGAAGCGUGAGUGACGGUAAUGGGUAAAGAAGCACCGGCUAACUACGUG